AACGAACGCUGGCGGCGCGCCUAAUACAUGCAAGUCGAGCGAGAAGACGUAGCAAUACGUUUGUAAAGCGGCGAACGGGUGAGGAAUACAUGGGUAACCUACCCUCGAGUGGGGAAUAACUAGCCGAAAGGUUAGCUAAUACCGCGUACGCUCCUUGGACUUCGGUUCAGGGAGGAAAGCGAUACCGUGGGUAUCGCGCUCUUGGAUGGGCUCAUGUCCUAUCAGCUUGUUGGUGAGGUAACGGCUCACCAAGGCUUCGACGGGUAGCUGGUCUGAGAGGACGAUCAGCCACACUGGCACUGCGACACGGGCCAGACUCCUACGGGAGGCAGCAGUAAGGAAUAUUGCGCAAUGGGCGAAAGCCUGACGCAGCGACGCCGCGUGGGGGAUGAAGGUCUUCGGAUUGUAAACCCCUUUCGGGAGGGAAGAUGGAACGAGCAAUCGUUCGGACGGUACCUCCAGAAGCAGCCACGGCUAACUUCGUGCCAGCAGCCGCAGUAAU
RNAcentral lists this ribosomal RNA (502 nucleotides) under uncultured bacterium. RNAcentral describes it as "bacterial SSU rRNA". It matches the Rfam family "Bacterial small subunit ribosomal RNA", at positions 29 to 524 of the family's 1533-position model. The record is from RNAcentral.